GACGAACGCUGGCGGCGCGCUUAACACAUGCAAGUCGAACGGAAAGGCCCUGCUUUUGUGGGGUGCUCGAGUGGCGAACGGGUGAGUAACACGUGAGUAACCUGCCCUUGACUUUGGGAUAACUUCAGGAAACUGGGGCUAAUACCGGAUAGGAGCUCCUGCUGCAUGGUGGGGGUUGGAAAGUUUCGGCGGUUGGGGAUGGACUCGCGGCUUAUCAGCUUGUUGGUGGGGUAGUGGCUUACCAAGGCUUUGACGGGUAGCCGGCCUGAGAGGGUGACCGGCCACAUUGGGACUGAGAUACGGCCCAGACUCCUACGGGAGGCAGCAGUGGGGAAUAUUGCACAAUGGGCGGAAGCCUGAUGCAGCAACGCCGCGUGCGGGAUGACGGCCUUCGGGUUGUAAACCGCUUUCGCCUGUGACGAAGCGUGAGUGACGGUAAUGGGUAAAGAAGCACCGGCUAACUACGUG
Molecule: ribosomal RNA, 468 nt
Filed under: uncultured bacterium
Lineage: Bacteria
Description: partial 16S ribosomal RNA
Rfam family: Bacterial small subunit ribosomal RNA
Source: RNAcentral